AUUGAACGCUGGCGGCAGGCCUAACACAUGCAAGUCGAGCGGAUGAAGGGAGCUUGCUCCUGGAUUCAGCGGCGGACGGGUGAGUAAUGCCUAGGAAUCUGCCUGGUAGUGGGGGAUAACGUCCGGAAACGGGCGCUAAUACCGCAUACGUCCUGAGGGAGAAAGUGGGGGAUCUUCGGACCUCACGCUAUCAGAUGAUCCUAGGUCGGAUUAGCUAGUUGGUGGGGUAAAGGCCUACCAAGGCGACGAUCCGUAACUGGUCUGAGAGGAUGAUCAGUCACACUGGACCUGAGACACGGUCCAGACUCCUACGGGAGGCAGCAGUGGGGAAUAUUGGACAAUGGGCGAAAGCCUGAUCCAGCCAUGCCGCGUGUGUGAAGAAGGUCUUCGGAUUGUAAAGCACUUUAAGUUGGGAGGAAGGGCAGUAAGUUAAUACCUUGCUGUUUUGACGUUACCAAAAGAAUAAGCACCGGCUAACUUCGUG
RNAcentral lists this ribosomal RNA (484 nucleotides) under uncultured bacterium. RNAcentral describes it as "partial 16S ribosomal RNA". It matches the Rfam family "Bacterial small subunit ribosomal RNA", at positions 30 to 507 of the family's 1533-position model. The record is from RNAcentral.